Molecule: non-coding RNA, 234 nt
Filed under: Stappia sp.
Lineage: Bacteria; Pseudomonadati; Pseudomonadota; Alphaproteobacteria; Hyphomicrobiales; Stappiaceae
Also listed under: 1 other name
Source: RNAcentral
GGUUAUGACUUGGCUUCCGGUCCUUCCUGCGCGGGCGCAAGCCCCAAUGGGAAGGCGAAAGUCGGAAUGCGGUGGGGGAGGACCCAAUCCGGGCUCCCGAAUCCGCAGCUGCCCCCGCAACUGUAAGCGGCGAGCCCCCUUGCGCAGACCACUGGACACGCUUCGUGUCCGGGAAGGGCAAAGGACCGGCGACGACCCGCGAGCCAGGAGACGAGCCGGAACGGGAAAAACGUC